AACGAACGCUGGCGGCGUGCUUAACACAUGCAAGUCGAACGAGAUGCUAGAGCUUGCUCUAGCGGACAGUGGCAGACGGGUGAGUAACGCGUGGCAACCUACCAUUUUCUACGGAACAACAGUUGGAAACGACUGCUAAUACCGUAUACGUCCUCCGGGAGAAAGAUUUAUCGGUGAAUGAUGGGGCCGCGUUAGAUUAGCUUGUUGGUGAGGUAAUGGCUCACCAAGGCGACGAUCUAUAGCUGGUCUGAGAGGAUGAUCAGCCACACUGGGACUGAGACACGGCCCAGACUCCUACGGGAGGCAGCAGUGGGGAAUAUUGGACAAUGGAGGCAACUCUGAUCCAGCAACGCCGCGUGAAUGAUGAAGGCCUUAGGGUUGUAAAAUUCUUUCGCUAGGGAAGAUAAUGACUGUACCUAGUAAAGAAGCCCCGGCUAACUCCG
Molecule: ribosomal RNA, 443 nt
Filed under: uncultured Hyphomonadaceae bacterium
Lineage: Bacteria; Pseudomonadati; Pseudomonadota; Alphaproteobacteria; Hyphomonadales; Hyphomonadaceae
Description: bacterial SSU rRNA
Rfam family: Bacterial small subunit ribosomal RNA
Source: RNAcentral